Molecule: long non-coding RNA, 2678 nt
Filed under: Malus domestica (apple)
Lineage: Eukaryota; Viridiplantae; Streptophyta; Magnoliopsida; Rosales; Rosaceae
Description: long non-coding RNA (MDOM_LNC003566)
Source: RNAcentral
AAAGAAAUAAAUAAAUAAAUAAAAUUUCAUGACAAAAAUAAUAAUUAAUUUAGGUUUUUUAUUUGUAUAGAUUUAUUAGAUAAGGAGUCGACGGAGUUCUAAUUCAUUUCACGUUUCACGUCGUAGGAUAAGAGCAACAUAUUUUUUCAUCAUUGUAGUAGAGGCCACUUGCAUAAUUAAUUUAGAAUUGAAUAGGUAAAGUUUGGCAGCGCGAUUUGGUUUUGGGUGUUCGUAUUUUUUUUCCCCACGCGCACACGUAAGCGAGUGGUUGUUGUACAUUUUGUGGUCGGUUCGGUAAUAUUGCAUGUUGAUCCAAUCAAUUGAAAAUACAUGUUGAAAUUUUUGGCUCUAUUUUAUUUUAAGUUGGCUUUUUUGGUUUUAAUUAAAUUAUUUUCUCUCCUUUUUUUUUUCUUAAUCCAAUUAUUUUUCACUUUUUGUCAUCUUAGAAGUUGAUGGGGAGGCAUUUAUCAUAAAGUAAUUUUAGGCUGAAAGUUCUUUUAAAAUGGUCAAAAGUUGGUUAAUUAAUUUUGGAUUAAAAAUGUCCUUGGUUUUUUUUUUUAAGAAGAAGCAUAGACCCACUUGACUUUUACUAAAUAUUAGUUUUAAAAAUAUUUUAACAAAACAACAAUUUUACUCAUUUUAAAAAUAUUUUCACGAGCUCUUAAUUUUCUCACUUUUUAUAACAUACUUAUGAUUUUUUUUUUUUAACAAACGAUAUUUUUUAUACCAAGUGAAUAAAGUGAGAUGAGUUUCACAAUGAUUAGCAAUAAUGUGGUUCAAAUUCAUUUUUGGCGAAAAUCGAACCAAAGACCUAUCACUAAUAAGAAGAGAAAUACUACUAGUAUUACUAAGUGACAAUAUACCCAUAAUUUUUAAAUUGACAUUUUAGUCAUGGGCUCAUGGGAGAUACGGUUUUUCACUCUUUGCACGUGUACAUUAUCGAUAGUGUGACAAACUGAGAAAGCACACAAUAUUUUCCUUAAAAUGUAUCUUGGAGGCUUACCAUUUUUUGUAUUACACCAUAUAGAUAAUGAAAUGAUUGAUGUAGUUUUGCUCACCGAGUCUGGUUUUGAUUUUGUAUUUAUAGGCCAAAGUGUUCCACUAUGGAUCCAUUAGCUUGAUCGUGGAGCCGUGCAGAUCGGCACAUCUGAAGGCAAUGGAGGUGGCUAAAGAAGCAGGUGCAUUGCUCUCCUACGACCCGAACCUCCGGGAGCCGCUGUGGCCGUCGCGGGAAGAGGCAAAGAAGCAGAUAAUGAGCAUAUGGGAUAAGGCCGAUGUGAUCAAGGUGAGUGAUGUGGAGCUGGAGUUCCUUACAGGGAGCCCCAAGAUUGAUGAUGCCAAUGCCAUGACACUGUGGAGAGAUAGCUUGAAGCUCCUCCUUGUCACUCUUGGUGAGAAGGGUUGCAGAUACUACACCAAGGUCAGUUCCUUAUGCGAUCCAAUCCAAUUCUUUACUAUUUUGUUGCACCUGCAUAUGCAUUGCUUAAUUAGUUCUGAGUUUUUGACUUUUAGUCACGUUGGGCCUGGGGUAGGUGGGGGUGGGGUCUAUGUCCAUGAUUUUGGUUGUGGACAAAGUAAGUUUGAUUAUAUUUCUUGAUAUUAAUGGAAUCUUUAUCUUAUUCAUUUGAUGUUUUUGUUUUGCAUAUUAAAAAAACGAGUUGCUAUUGACACUCUACAAAUGCCGUGGCCGUGCACCAUUUAUGUAACAAAGUAGAAAUAUUUCAAGUAUUAUUAUGUGGCAAAGCAGACAUUUUUGAAGGAGUUAAUAUGUGUUCAAAACUAAUAGAAAAUUGGAGAGUUUCGAACCGGUGACGACGGGUCGUACCCAGUGCACAAGGCUCCCGCUUUACGCAGGGUCUGGGAGAGGUGAAUGUCGGUGACGACACAUGGAUAAAAUUCAACACUCUAUCCACAUGAAUAUUUAGUUUUGAGUUUAGAGGGGAUUGGGUUUUGAAGCAUGGGUAGACAUCCAACUCCCUAUCCAUCAGGAUAUUGAGUUUUGUUUACUUUUUUUUUGGAAACUUUAGGCAUUUGGUUUGGUAAUUGGGUUAAAAACUUAACUUGUGUACAUUACUUGUAAAACAACAAAUACAGAAUUUCCGUGGAGUGGUGGAAUCCUUCGAGGUCAAAGCCGUUGACACUACCGGCGCCGGUGAUUCGUUUGUCGGUGCUCUCCUUGCGAAGAUUGUCGAUGACCACUCUAUUCUUGAAGUAAGCUAUACAGUUGACGAUGAUUUUAUGCAUCUUAUAUGCUAUAUAUAUUUGAAUUAUAUUAAUUUGGAAAGCUGAUGAACGAAUUUGGUUGGAUUUGCAGGACGAGAAGAGGUUGAGGGAGGUACUGAAAUUUGCAAAUGCAUGCGGAGCGAUUACAACAACCAAGAAGGGAGCGAUCCCCGCACUUCCCAACGAGUCUGAAGCCCUCACCCUCUACAAAGCAAAUUAGAACAAGGUGAUGGAUCUCAACAGCAACAAGAAGAAGAGGGGAAUAUCUGCCUCUUUUUAUUUUUCUUUUUAUUUCUCCUCUUUUUAUUACUUUUUUUUUUAUUUGUCAAGUUUGUAGGAGCUUUUGUUUCGAAUUUUGUGUUUUAUUGGAGAGGGAUUUUCCAGCAUUGGUUUGGCUGCGUGUAAUGAUGGAAGUUGGAGGCUUAAGCAUUGCCUAAUAAGUAAUAUGAUUUCUG